UACGGAGGGUGCAAGCGUUGCUCGGAAUUAUUGGGCGUAAAGGGUAGGUAGGUGGUCUCAUUUGUCUGGGGUGAAAGCCUUGAGCUUAACUCAAGAAGUGCCCCAGAAACGGUGAGACUAGAGUCCUGGAGAGGGUCGUGGAAUUCCCGGUGUAGCGGUGAAAUGCGUAGAGAUCGGGAGGAAUACCGAUGGCGAAGGCAGCCAUCUGGCCUAACACUGACGCUGAGGUGCGAAAGCAUGGGGAGCAAACAGG
Molecule: ribosomal RNA, 253 nt
Filed under: uncultured bacterium
Lineage: Bacteria
Description: partial 16S ribosomal RNA
Rfam family: Bacterial small subunit ribosomal RNA
Source: RNAcentral